GGUUACGUAGCUCAAUAAGGAUAGAGCAACUGCCUUCUAAGCAGUUGGUUGCAGGUUCGAAUCCUGCCGUGACCA
This 75-nucleotide transfer RNA is filed under the name Candidatus Bostrichicola ureolyticus. Its description in RNAcentral is "tRNA-Arg". It matches the Rfam family "tRNA". From Rfam's summary of the family: Transfer RNA (tRNA) molecules are approximately 80 nucleotides in length. Their secondary structure includes four short double-helical elements and three loops (D, anti-codon, and T loops). Lineage: Bacteria; Pseudomonadati; Bacteroidota; Flavobacteriia. The record is from RNAcentral.